AGAAUGAACGUCGGCGGCGUGGAUUAGGCAUGCAAGUCGUGCGCGAACUGUAGCAAUACAGGGAGAGCGGCGAAAGGGAGAGUAAAACAUAGGUACCUACCCCCGGGCCUGGGAUAGCGGCGGGAAACUGCCGGUAAUACCAGAUGACGUCUCCGGACCAAAGGUGUGAUUCCACCGUGGGGAGGGGCCUGUGACCUAUUAGCUAGUUGGUAAGGUAACGGCUUACCAAGGCAAAGAUGGGUAUGGGGACGUGAGAGCGUGCCCCCACUCACUGGGACUGAGACACUGCCCAGACCACCGUACGGGUGGCUGCAGUCGAGAAUCUUCGGCAAGUGGGCGAAAGCCUGACCGAGCCGACGCCGCGUGCGGGAUGGAACGGUCCGUUCGGGUUGUAAACCGCGUGGUCGGUAGGGAGGUAAGGUUUGCGAAGAG
This 432-nucleotide ribosomal RNA is filed under the name uncultured soil bacterium. Its description in RNAcentral is "bacterial SSU rRNA". It matches the Rfam family "Bacterial small subunit ribosomal RNA", at positions 26 to 463 of the family's 1533-position model. The record is from RNAcentral.